RNAcentral lists this ribosomal RNA (577 nucleotides) under Lobophora abaculusa. Its description in RNAcentral is "LSU rRNA". It matches the Rfam family "Eukaryotic large subunit ribosomal RNA", at positions 85 to 657 of the family's 3401-position model. Lineage: Eukaryota; Phaeophyceae; Dictyotales; Dictyotaceae. The record is from RNAcentral.
AACGGCGAGUGAAGCGGGAAGAGCUCAUGUUUGAAAUCCAGCUCUAAACGGUGCUGGAGUUGUAACCUAGAGGUGCGUGUUGCCUGCCGGGGGGGCCGCGGCUAAGUCCGAUUUGAAAAGGGCACCAAGGAGGGUGGCAGUCCCGUUCGUGCCGCAGUCCCACCGGCGUUGUGGCCCGCUUCCAACGAGUCGAGUUGCUUGGGAUUGCAGCUCAAAGUGGGUGGUAAACUCCAUCCAAAGCUAAACACGUGUGGGAGACCGAUAGCGAACAAGUACCGUGAGGGAAAGAUGCAAAGAACUUUGAAAAGAGAGUCAAAGAGUGCCUGAAAUUGCUGAGAGGGAAGCGAAGGAAAGUAGUGUCGGUCGUGGGGAUCUCGCACACGGGGAGCGGCCCGAUCUUCGGGUCGGGCCCUCUCCGUUAUCCCCCGCAAUGUCAGGGGCGGGUGCGCAGGAUUGGCCGAGGCGGCGGCCAGAGGUAAAGGUGUUCCGAGGUAACAGCCGGACGAAUGCGGUAAUCAGGAUCCGCGUCUCGGGCGCGGCCGUCCCUGACGAAAUGUUUUUCUUUACCCCGUCUUGA